This 2179-nucleotide long non-coding RNA is filed under the name Canis lupus familiaris (dog). RNAcentral describes it as "lncRNA (ENSCAFG00040019243.1)". The record is from RNAcentral. Lineage: Eukaryota; Metazoa; Chordata; Mammalia; Carnivora; Canidae.
AUGAACCCACGCGCUUUCAGAGCUUGCUCUGGGGCUGGAAUAAAAUCAACCCUUUCUGAUGUGGCGCGGGGGACAGCUGGCCCGCGUUAUUUGCGCCAGAGUGGGUCGGAACGAUGCCUGUUGCCUGCGAUGGCACUUUGCCACGCGCAGCGCUUCCCUGGCCGCCUCGAAAGCAGUCUGAAGGGACACCGAAGCCCGCUUUCUCUCUGUGAUAAAGCGCAAAACUGGUAUCUACCCUCAGCCACCCUAUCUCCAAAUAAUGUGAGAUUCGAUCUCACCCCUACUUUUCCCUCACACGUCCCGCGUGCGGUUCAGGUCCAGCCUAACGUGGAGAAGCCCGUGUCCGAGUCGUGUAACCAGGUUCCCCACACCCGGACUACGUCUCCGAGCGGCCCGAACCGCGCAGCCCCUUCCUCUCCGGUUCUCGGGACCCCCCGCGGACUCCCCAUCACUUUGGAAAUGACGAAGUCUUCAAACGCACAAAACGUGCCGAUGUCGGCUGGCGCUGCUGCGGUCCGAGCCCAGGUCGGAAGGCUUCGAGGCGCUCUGCACUGGCGUGUGCCCUCAACAAAUCCUGCGGCCGCCUCAUCUGUUGUGGGCUACGAGUUUCCCGUGUGAUCGCGUUCGGUUGGGGAAGCAGAGUCCCAACAUCUCAGCCGGAAAAUGCGCUCCCGGAGCGCUUACAAGCCGCGUCUGUAAUUGCUUAUUAACAGCGAAUAUUCAUGCUUCUCCUUAUCCGCAAUGAGACGUGCCUCCCCCCUUUUCGGUAAUAAAACAAUAAAAUAAGACGGCACCACUCUUGACUCUACUGUCUGCGGAAACGCAAGGGAGAAACAGGCAGCUGGGGCAAAAGGGCUUGAUUCAAUAUCAAACUGAUUAUUUCACUAAUUAUUCUACCUUCUGUGUUGCGCCGCAGAGGAGAGGCGCAGGGAAUCUCAACCGCACUGCUGCUGGGGAACCUUUGUCUCUUGGUGCCAGGCCCAGCUGAAGAUGCUGUGUGGAGGGAAUCCGAGGUUCAGGGAAACUGAGCUGCGGUGGAUUUUGAAUUGUGGGGAGCAAAUGCGAUUGCCUCCUGAAAGCAGGCGUGUGGGCGUGAGGAUGAGGGUGUCUCCAGUGCCCCACCCCACCCGGGCUUCUGAUUCAUAAGCUGGGUCCUCAAGGAUGACGUUGUGCUCUCACCGACCCCGGAACCCCAAAAGCCGAGCGCAAGGUUCUUCUUCACGAACCCUUCCCGAUAAGUAAAAGAGCGGGACCGAACAAAAUGGGGUUCUUGUGUGCUGAAGGCCUGGGAGCCUCCCACCAUCGGGAGGAAAGUGUACCUGAAGCUACAACUCCUGGUGUGGAGAGAAACCUCGCUUGCCCAGAUCCCCACCCUCUGGGACCGGUGCCUCCUGCAAGCUCUCGGCUUGCAGAGCCUUUCUCGUGCCAGCCUCUAAAACCUGCUCCCGCCCCGGCAUCCUCCUCUCCGAGUGCCGAGAUGACUUCUGUGCCAGCAGUGGACCCCGCUAAGGAGACCCCAAACCCUGUUCCCCUAAACUCCAGCAAAAUACGGACACCACGACUGAUUCUCACAGUAGGACAGUCUCAAAAAAAAAAAAAAAAAAAAAAAAAAAAGGCCUAAAGGAAAAGAAAGUCGCAGUCGACAUGAUCCAAUUAGUAAAUGCCUAAUUGAAUUAGUGUCACCUCCGUCAGCCAAUGGGAGAGCCCCCGGGUUGUGGGGCCGCGAAGCCCCUCCCUGGCCGCACAUAUAUAAAGCAGCCAAUGACAGGCUGCAAGUUUCCAAGUGGUCAACUUGACCCGCACUUGGGCAGUCGAGAAGGGCAGAAAGGCUAUAGCAGCGCUGGUGGGUGGAUAGGGCCAGAGAUCUAAAUCUUCUUAUUCCUGGGGGGUGAGCGCGGAGGAGGCCGGGGGUCCAGAGAGGCCAGAAGGACGGGGAAGGAAAAGGAGAGUGCUUUUUCGGUCAACCUCCACCUCCUGCCUUCAAACCCAGGGCGCUUUCCCGGCGGAAAGGGCGCUGUGUUCGGGGCGCGCGGGCGCGCGCCUUAGCGGCCCGCGAGCGGCCAGGUGGGUAGCCCCAGCACCGGAGGAAGGGGAAGUUACCUUCCCCUCGGAAGAGGGCGCUGGCUCCCCCAUCCUGCCUUUAUAUUAAGGCCGCGGGAGGAGAGGAAGCAGCCAGCUG